RNAcentral lists this small RNA (132 nucleotides) under Salmonella enterica subsp. enterica serovar Infantis. RNAcentral describes it as "RtT sRNA". It matches the Rfam family "RtT RNA". Rfam says of the family: This family represents a bacterial cis-regulatory element known as RtT RNA. The exact function of RtT is unknown although it is thought that it may be involved in changing the cellular response in relation to amino acid starvation. Lineage: Bacteria; Pseudomonadati; Pseudomonadota; Gammaproteobacteria; Enterobacterales; Enterobacteriaceae. The record is from RNAcentral.
AUAUCUCUCUGUACGGGAAGGAUGAGAAGCUUCGACUAAGGUUCGAUUCGAGCGAAAGCGAGAAAGCGUUGCCGCAGGCAACGACCCGAAGGGCGAAACGCGCAGCGCUGAGUCCUCCUUCCCCCACCACCA